CGCCCGCCUGCCGCGGCCCAAGGACAACCCAGGAUGGCUGUGUGGGCGGCCAUAGAUAAAGUCCUGAGCAAAAAUUAGCAUCGGUCCUUUUCGAUUUUGAGUUGUCUCCUAAACUAUCAGGCCCAGAGGGAGCUGGUAACAUGCUGCCCAAUGGGCUACACAAGCAGAAGGCGUGCAGAGGAGAGACAACGCAGAGAUUCAAAGCAGAUGCAAGACAGAAAAAGAAGAGGGGCAGUCACAGCCACUCCUUACACAGCCAGGGUGUGCUGCAACGGCCUGAUAUGGGAGAUGGCUUGCACAACGGCUCGAACAGCUUACCCUGCAGUACUGGCUUACCGGCUUCCUCUUAGGAGC
This is a long non-coding RNA of Mauremys mutica (yellowpond turtle), 354 nucleotides long. RefSeq lists it as uncharacterized. Lineage: Eukaryota; Metazoa; Chordata; Testudines; Geoemydidae. The record is from RefSeq and is a predicted model, not a curated record. The transcript has 4 exons.